Molecule: non-coding RNA, 21 nt
Filed under: Arabidopsis thaliana (thale cress)
Lineage: Eukaryota; Viridiplantae; Streptophyta; Magnoliopsida; Brassicales; Brassicaceae
Source: RNAcentral
UAGAUAGUCUAAGUCAUGCUU